Haliotis rubra (blacklip abalone) is the source of this 122-nucleotide long non-coding RNA. RefSeq lists it as uncharacterized. The transcript is spliced from 3 exons. Lineage: Eukaryota; Metazoa; Mollusca; Gastropoda; Lepetellida; Haliotidae. The record is from RefSeq and is a predicted model, not a curated record.
AUUCAAUUGUGGCAUAUACAGUCGUGCCCCGAUUAUCCGGACACUUGUGUUUUUCUUGAAAUUGUCCAGAUAAACGAAUUUCCGGAUAUCUGAACCACAGACUAUAUGUAAAAAGACAUACA